GUGCCAGCAGCCGCGGUAAUACGGGGGGGGCAAGCGUUGUUCGGAAUUACUGGGCGUAAAGGGCUCGUAGGUGGCCACCUAAGUCCGACGUGAAAUCCCUCGGCUCAACCGGGGAACUGCGUCGGAUACUGGGUGGCUUGAAUCCGGGAGAGGGACGUGGAAUUCCAGGUGUAGCGGUGAAAUGCGUAGAUAUCUGGAGGAACACCGGUGGCGAAGGCGGCGUCCUGGACCGGUAUUGACACUGAGGAGCGAAAGCCAGGGGAGCAAACGGGAUUAGAAACCCUCGUAGUCC
This 292-nucleotide ribosomal RNA is filed under the name uncultured bacterium. RNAcentral describes it as "partial 16S ribosomal RNA". It matches the Rfam family "Bacterial small subunit ribosomal RNA", at positions 505 to 796 of the family's 1533-position model. The record is from RNAcentral.